Long non-coding RNA from Motacilla alba alba, 3382 nucleotides. RefSeq lists it as uncharacterized. The record is from RefSeq and is a predicted model, not a curated record. NCBI's taxonomy places the organism in Eukaryota, Metazoa, Chordata, Aves, Passeriformes, Motacillidae. The transcript has 6 exons.
GGAGAGUGCGUCCCUGCUGGCUGCCAGGGGGAGCCGGCAGCAGCAGCGGAAGAAAGGAAAGCCCAGGAAGGUUGGAAAAGUGCUGUGUAACGAUGAGCAGGAAGUGCUCCGGCUCCCCCCCCCCCCCCCACCCCCCCCGCGUCUCUCGAAGAGCGGCCCUGCCUGACGCGGCGUUUUGUUCGCCUUACGGGAAAGGGUGCUGGUGUUGCCCGUAAUGCGGGCUGAGUGGGGCUACUGCAAAGCUGGAAGGCAUGAGUAAAUCACGGGAAUAUUUUUCUUUUUCCUUUUUUUUCCUUUGUUGUUUUCCUUCCCACCACCCAAAGCACGAAGUGGCGCCGUUUCUCUGUGGGAUGUGGGCCCUUCUGCAGCGUAGAAGGGUCAGCGAGGCGAGCGGUGCUUGCCCGGGGUUAAACACUGACCGUCUCCCGCAGCUCCCCUCAUGGAGGGACUCAGCCAGGACCAGAAAGACUCCUCAUGGGAACAACUUAGUCUUCCCAUCCGAGGGGACUCUGUGGUGGAACUUUUAAAUUCCCAUCUAUUUUGUUUAUUUCUCUGUGUUUUGGAGACGUCCUUUGUUUCACCACAUGCUGCACCACUGCCCACCCCACAGUGCAAAACAGGUCUGCCGCAGCCCUACUCUCCUUCUGUUGCGCUGGUAGGGUUUAAUGUUGGACUCUAGGCGUUGCUGACUCCAGCUGCCACUGCACGUGACACAGGAAAGGUUAGGCGUUGGGAUAUUGGUGCCAGCUGUGUUACGAAUGGGCUAUUUCUGCAAAUUUUAGCAGCUGGGUUACCAGCCUGUGAAAGAUUUGCUCUGCAAUACAGCUGGGCAGAGGAUGGGAAGACUUAGUGCAGGUGCUGGAUAAAAAAAUACACUUCUUCCUUAAAAAGGAAAAGAAAACAAAACAAAAGAUAGUUUGCCUUGGAUACAGUACCAACCCAUCCCAACAGGAUGUCCCCUCAUAUGUUGCUUUACUUGUGGUGGAAACUGAGUAAGUAAUUUUUUAUUUUGGAAGUUUAUUAAGUGUGUGGCAUACUACUGCAGCAGAACUAGUAAGCUCUUUUCUGGCCCUGUGGUUGCGUCCCCUUUGCUCAACUUUACUUGCACCACAGCAGGCCACCUCCUGUCUAGGUCUUGCCAGACCUUAUCGGUUUUGCCUGCUGGAAACACUUUGAAUGCUGCUCUCCCUGCUUCUUCCCCCUCCUGUUAGAUGCCAUAAGCAUCCCCUUGUUUUCUUUGGUGGCAUCGCUAGAGGAGCCAGGAUGCCUGUGGGUGAGAAGCAGCACUGUGAAGGCUUGGUGGUUUACAUAUUUUCUUCCAGCUUCCUCUAGCUGGUCCCUGCUGCCCUUGUGUCCGUGUGCCCUGUGGCUGAUGCCACGGCUGGUACAUAUGCCCUGUGCUGCUUUGGGGAGGUGCAGCUGCUGCCAAUGGCUCAAGAGAAAGCAGGAAUUCCUCAUAAGCCAAGGCACCUUGCUCUACAACCGGCUGCCUGGCAGGAUAAAAUGAGAAGCCCAGACUACCUUCAAAGUCCAACUCCUGAAUGCCCCACCUCAGCCAAGCAUCGUGUGGCUCGUGCAGAAGCCAGUGCAAGCAAAGGCAGGGAACAACCCACCCAGAUAAUAAAUUCCUAGAAACCAACAGCUUUCUAAAGGCAAGUGUGGGUGGGCAAACCCUUUCUAAACUCAAAGGAGAGGUGUGUCCCUUCUCAGGUGCCAUAUGUGGCCACUUGUCUCCUGCUGUGCUCACAGUCACUUGGCUUGACAGACUUAGACAUACAGCAGUUUGAAGUCCAAAAUGUUGCUGUAGGAUUGUUGGAUGAAUGCCUAAAAUAACUGGACAGUUAUAUAAUCUAUGUGAUCUGUGCUUGAUUCUUAGGCUGUAGUAAUUACUGUCAUGACAGUAAUAAUUUUUAACGUAAUAAAAAUGGUACAGAGGAAUGUGUGUCCUCUAAAUGAGGAAAAAAAAUCUACACCCCAGAAAACACACCCUGUUUUCUUAUUAUUUUUGUAUUUUGUUUUUUAAACUAUGGAAUGUCACAUUGUUUAGCUUAACAAUGCUGUAGCUGUCCCAUAUACACAGUCACUCAACCAUAGGGGCCUCAGCUUCUCAUGUGCCCUCACUCCCACCCACCUUCCUCACAACCACAAAUCCAACAUACUUCUCUCCCCCAGGCUAACAGAGAGUGGAUGUUAAAAAUAUGCGAGUUGACUGUGGAAAAGUUGAAAAUCACGUGCUUCAGCACUCUGCUGUAGGAUGUGUCAUACGCAGGAGUCACUGGGUAGGAUGGUGGCCAAUAGAUGGCUCUUUGCAAAUGUGGGCUGGCAGCGAACCAGGAAGCACUGAAAGACAAUCAGGAAGGUGUGUUAACUUGCUUCUGAAAGCCAGAAAAUGUGGCCUGAGGAGGGACAGAGUGGAAAGGCAAUAUAAGCUUCAAAAAUGAGUCCCUAGAUAGUUUCUCUUGGAGAAGGUCUGGAGACAUGGACAAAUGCCUGUACGUAUAUAUUUGCCACACUCCUUGGAUGUGUGGAAAACGUGGGAGAGGAAGUCAGAAGGUCUAAAGUUAGGUGCCCGCCCUCAAGAGAAUUAAUCAGUACCACUUAGGUGUCGGCCAGUAAAAAGGACUGUAUUUUUGGAGAGCUCAUGCUAUGCCACAAUCAUCACAAACAUCCAGGCCAGAUGCUGAGUCUUAAUGGCCUUAUGCAUCAAGGAAGGAGAACAAUGCCAGGACUGGUCCUUGCAGAUGAUCCCAUCUGCUUGUGUCAGUGGAGCAGUGGUCCGCCAGGGAUGAGUACUGGGGUGGUGCUGGAGUUUCCUGUAGUGCUGGGCCUGUUGGUGGAGUCCAACUGGAGGCAUGUGACAGCUUAACACUAGCCAGGACAAGUGGACACCAGACAUGGGAAAAAAGUAUAGAAAGAGACGGCAUAAGUCAGAAAGCCAUGUGCAGAUCAAUAGCAAGCAAGGAGUAAGACUUCACGGAAUGGCACCUGCAUGGAGACAAGAAAAGGAAGCAGAGAAUGACAGUAAGAUCCUGAAAGACACUGGACAGCCCUAAGAGCUCCACAUGGACCACUCAGAGUCAGCAAAACGUGAAGAGGGCAAACAGACAAGAAUUUUAGAGCACUUCAGAAAGAAGAAACUGGAGUCAGAAACUCUCUGAGGAAGGAAGAACUGUUGCUUGUAUUUUGACAUGGGGAGUGGAGACUUGCAGGAGAGGCUGACCUGACAAUUCUGAUAAUUACUCCAAUGCUCCCAGGUAGGUGGUGUUGUCCAUGUUCCAUUUUCCAAGCAAAUACUCCGCAGGGGCCCUUCCAGCAUGUACCCACUGUAGCAUGAAUAGGUGAUCAUGUCUCCAUACUGAUAGAAGCUACCACGAAUCAGAGC